Molecule: ribosomal RNA, 1372 nt
Filed under: uncultured bacterium
Lineage: Bacteria
Description: bacterial SSU rRNA
Rfam family: Bacterial small subunit ribosomal RNA
Source: RNAcentral
GAUGAACGCUGGCGGCGUGCCUAAUACAUGCAAGUCGAGCGAACGGACGAGAAGCUUGCUUUUCUGAUGUUAGCGGCGGACGGGUGAGUAACACGUGGAUAACCUACCUAUAAGACUGGGAUAACUUCGGGAAACCGGAGCUAAUAUCGGAUAAUAUUUUGAACCGCAUGGUUCAAAAGUGAAAGACGGUCUUGCUGUCACUUAUAGAUGGAUCCGCGCUGCAUUAGCUAGUUGGUAAGGUAACGGCUUACCAAGGCAACGAUGCAUAGCCGACCUGAGAGGGUGAUCGGCCACACUGGAACUGAGACACGGUCCAGACUCCUACGGGAGGCAGCAGUAGGGAAUCUUCCGCAAUGGGCGAAAGCCUGACGGAGCAACGCCGCGUGAGUGAUGAAGGUCUUCGGAUCGUAAAACUCUGUUAUUAGGGAAGAACAUAUGUGUAAGUAACUGUGCACAUCUUGACGGUACCUAAUCAGAAAGCCACGGCUAACUACGUGCCAGCAGCCGCGGUAAUACGUAGGUGGCAAGCGUUAUCCGGAAUUAUUGGGCGUAAAGCGCGCGUAGGCGGUUUUUUAAGUCUGAUGUGAAAGCCCACGGCUCAACCGUGGAGGGUCAUUGGAAACUGGAAAACUUGAGUGCAGAAGAGGAAAGUGGAAUUCCAUGUGUAGCGGUGAAAUGCGCAGAGAUGUGGAGGAACACCAGUGGCGAAGGCGACUUUCUGGUCUGUAACUGACGCUGAUGUGCGAAAGCGUGGGGAUCAAACAGGAUUAGAUACCCUGGUAGUCCACGCCGUAAACGAUGAGUGCUAAGUGUUAGGGGGUUUCCGCCCCUUAGUGCUGCAGCUAACGCAUUAAGCACUCCGCCUGGGGAGUACGACCGCAAGGUUGAAACUCAAAGGAAUUGACGGGGGCCCGCACAAGCGGUGGAGCAUGUGGUUUAAUUCGAAGCAACGCGAAGAACCUUACCAAAUCUUGACAUCCUUUGACAACUCUAGAGAUAGAGCCUUCCCCUUCGGGGGACAAAGUGACAGGUGGUGCAUGGUUGUCGUCAGCUCGUGUCGUGAGAUGUUGGGUUAAGUCCCGCAACGAGCGCAACCCUUAAGCUUAGUUGCCAUCAUUAAGUUGGGCACUCUAAGUUGACUGCCGGUGACAAACCGGAGGAAGGUGGGGAUGACGUCAAAUCAUCAUGCCCCUUAUGAUUUGGGCUACACACGUGCUACAAUGGACAAUACAAAGGGCAGCGAAACCGCGAGGUCAAGCAAAUCCCAUAAAGUUGUUCUCAGUUCGGAUUGUAGUCUGCAACUCGACUACAUGAAGCUGGAAUCGCUAGUAAUCGUAGAUCAGCAUGCUACGGUGAAUACGUUCCCGGGUCU